UUUUGAUUAAUAAUUUAAAGUCUAAUCUGCCCACUGAUAAUAUAUUAAAGGGCUGCAGUAUUUUGACUGUACAAAGGUAGCAUAAUCAUUAGUCUCUUAAUUGGUGACUUGUAUGAAAGAUUUGAUGAAAUAUAUACUGUCUCUUUUUAAUUUAUAAAAUUUAAUUUUUUAGUUAAAAAGCUAAAAUUUAUUUAAAAGACGAGAAGACCCUAUAGAGUUUUAUAUUUAUAUAAAUUAAAAUUUUUUAUAAGAUUUAAAAUUUUAAUUUAUAUAAAUAUUUUAUUGGGGUGAUAGAAAAAUUAGAAUAACUUUUUUUAUAAUCUUACAUUAAUAAAUGAAUAAAUGAUCCGUAAUUUACGAUUAUAAGAUAAAAUUACCUUAGGGAUAACAGCGUAAUUUUUUUUUUUAGUUCAAAUAAGAAAAAAAGUUUGCGACCUCGAUGUUGGAUUAAGAUAAAAUUUAAAUGCAAAAGUUUAAAGUUUUUGAUCUG
RNAcentral lists this ribosomal RNA (490 nucleotides) under Parnassius jacquemontii (keeled apollo). RNAcentral describes it as "partial 16S ribosomal RNA". The record is from RNAcentral. Lineage: Eukaryota; Metazoa; Arthropoda; Insecta; Lepidoptera; Papilionidae.